Molecule: ribosomal RNA, 612 nt
Filed under: uncultured bacterium
Lineage: Bacteria
Description: bacterial SSU rRNA
Rfam family: Bacterial small subunit ribosomal RNA (bases 1-518)
Source: RNAcentral
CCUACGGGAGGCAGCAGUGGGGAAUCUUGCGCAAUGGGCGAAAGCCUGACGCAGCCAUGCCGCGUGAAUGAUGAAGGUCUUAGGAUUGUAAAAUUCUUUCACCGGGGACGAUAAUGACGGUACCCGGAGAAGAAGCCCCGGCUAACUUCGUGCCAGCAGCCGCGGUAAUACGAAGGGGGCUAGCGUUGCUCGGAAUUACUGGGCGUAAAGGGAGCGUAGGCGGAUAGUUUAGUCAGAGGUGAAAGCCCAGGGCUCAACCUUGGAAUUGCCUUUGAUACUGGCUAUCUUGAGUACGGAAGAGGUAUGUGGAACUCCGAGUGUAGAGGUGAAAUUCGUAGAUAUUCGGAAGAACACCAGUGGCGAAGGCGACAUACUGGUCCGUUACUGACGCUGAGGCUCGAAAGCGUGGGGAGCAAACAGGAUUAGAUACCCUGGUAGUCCACGCUGUAAACGAUGAGUGCUAGUUGUCGGCAUGNAUGCAUGUCGGUGACGCAGCUACGACAUAAGUACACUCCGCCGUCGGGGAGGUACGGUACGGCGAACGAAUUAAAACUUAAACUAAGUAAGUAGUAGACGCGUAGACGAGCGACGACGACGACGACGGAGGAGGAG